This 1243-nucleotide ribosomal RNA is filed under the name metagenome. RNAcentral describes it as "bacterial LSU rRNA". It matches the Rfam family "Bacterial large subunit ribosomal RNA", at positions 1564 to 2817 of the family's 2925-position model. The record is from RNAcentral.
UGAAUACGAGAUGCUACGGCGUCGAAGCAGUCUAUGUCAUACUUCCAAGAAAAGCUUGCACUGUCAUAAACAAAUAAUGCCUGUACCAUAACCGACACAGGUGGGUAGGUAGAGUAUACUAAGGGGCGCGAGAUAACUCUCUCUAAGGAACUCGGCAAAAUGACUCCGUAACUUCGGGAGAAGGAGUGCCUUAUUUAUAAGGUUGCAAUAACAAGAUCCAAGCAACUGUUUACCAAAAACACAGGUCUCCGCUAAGUCGUAAGACGAUGUAUGGGGGCUGACGCCUGCCCAGUGCCAGAAGGUUAAAGAAGUUGGUUAGCAUCCGCGAAGCUGAUAACUGAAGCCCUGGUGAACGGCGGCCGUAACAAUAACGGUCCUAAGGUAGCGAAAUUCCUUGUCGGGUAAGUUCCGACCCGCACGAAAGGCGUAAUGAUUUGGAUACUGUCUCGGAGAGGGGCUCGGUGAAAUAGACUUGUCUGUGAAGAUGCGGACUACCUGCACCAGGACAGAAAGACCCUAUGAAGCUUUACUGUAACCUGAAAUUGAAAUUGGACUUUACUUGCGCAGUAUAGGUGGGAGGCGUUGAGAAUAUUCUUGCGGGAUUAUUGGAGCCAUCAGUGAGAUACCACUCUUGUAAUGUUAGAUUUCUAACUUUGUAUCAUUAUCUGGUCAAAGAACAGUUUCAGGCGGGCAGUUUGACUGGGGCGGUCGCCUCCUAAACGGUAACGGAGGCGCACAAAGGUUUCCUCUGAACGGGUAGAAAUCGUAUCUAGAGUGUAAAGGCACAAGGAAGCUUGACUGUGAGACCUACAAGUCGAGCAGGGACGAAAGUCGGUCUUAGUGAUCUGACGGUGCUGAGUGGAAAGGCCGUCACUCAACGGAUAAAAGUUACUCUAGGAUAACAGGCUGAUCUCCCCCAAGAGUUCACAUCGACGGGGAGGUUUGGCACCUCGAUGUCGGCUCAUCGCAUCCUGGGGCGGUAGUACGUCCCAAGGGUUGGGCUGUUCGCCCAUGAAAGCGGUACGCGAGCUGGGUUCAGAACGUCGUGAGACAGUUCGGUCCAUAUCCGGUGUAGGCGUUAGAAUAUUGAGAGGAGCCUUCUUUAGUACGAGAGGACCGAGAAGGACAUACCUCUGGUGUACCAGUUAUCGUGCCAACGGUAAACGCUGGGUAGCUAUGUGUGGAGUGGAUAACCGCUGAAAGCAUCUAAGUGGGAAGCCCACCUCAAGAUAAGUAUUCUCAC